CGUAGGGUGCAAGCGUUGCCCGGAUUUAUUGGGCGUAAAGGGCGCGUAGGCGGCCCGGCGCGUCCGCGGUGAAAGCUCCCGGCUCAACUGGGAGAGGUCCGCGGAAACGGUCGGGCUGGAGCAAGGUAGGGGUCGUGGAAUUCCCGGUGUAGUGGUGGAAUGCGUAGAGAUCGGGAGGAACACCAGUGGCGAAGGCGGCGACCUGGACCUGUGCUGACGCUGAGGCGCGAAAGCGUGGGGAGCGAUCCGGAUUAGAUACCCGGGUAGUCCACGCCGUAAACGAUGCACACUAGGUGUCGGGGGUAUCGACCCCCUCGGCGCCGCAGCUAACGCAUUAAGUGUGCCGCCUGGGGACUACGGCCGCAAGGCUA
This 371-nucleotide ribosomal RNA is filed under the name uncultured organism. Its description in RNAcentral is "bacterial SSU rRNA". It matches the Rfam family "Bacterial small subunit ribosomal RNA", at positions 526 to 896 of the family's 1533-position model. The record is from RNAcentral.